CCUACGGGAGGCAGCAGUGGGGAAUAUUGCACAAUGGGGGAAACCCUGAUGCAGCGACGCCGCGUGAGUGAAGAAGUAUUUCGGUGUGUAAAGCCCUAUUAGCAGGGAAGAAAAUGACGGUCCCUGACUCAGAAGCUCCGGCUACCUACGUUCCAGCAGCCGCGGUAAUACGGAGGGGGCACGCGUUAUCCGGAUUUACUGGGUGGAAAGGGAGCGUAGUCGGUGAUUCAAGUCAGGAGUGAAAGCCCGGGGCUCAACUCCGGGACUGCUUUUGAAACUGUGUGACUUGAGUGCAGGAGAGGUAAGCGGAAUUCCUGGUGUAGCGGUGAAAUGCGGAGAUAUCAGGAAGAACACCAGUGGCGAAGGCGGCGUACUGGACUGUAACUGACGUUGAGGCUCGAAAGCGUGGGGAGCAAACAGGAUUAGAUACCCUAGUAGUC
RNAcentral lists this ribosomal RNA (440 nucleotides) under uncultured bacterium. Its description in RNAcentral is "partial 16S ribosomal RNA". It matches the Rfam family "Bacterial small subunit ribosomal RNA", at positions 338 to 795 of the family's 1533-position model. The record is from RNAcentral.